AGUGGCGGACGGGUGAGUAACGCGUGAGAAUCUACCUUCAGGACGGGGACAACAGCUGGAAACGGCUGCUAAUACCCGAUAUCCCGAAAGGUGAAAAGUUUUUUCGCCUGGAGAGGAGCUCGCGUCCGAUUAGCUAGUUGGUGAGGUAAAAGCUUACCAAGGCGACGAUCGGUAGCUGGUCUGAGAGGAUGAGCAGCCACACUGGAACUGAGACACGGUCCAGACUCCUACGGGAGGCAGCAGUGGGGAAUUUUCCGCAAUGGGCGAAAGCCUGACGGAGCAACGCCGCGUGGGGGAAGAAGGUUUUUGGAUUGUAAACCCCUUUUCUCAAGGAAGAACAAAAUGACGGUACUUGAGGAAUCAGCCUCGGCUAACUCCGUGCCAGCAGCCGCGGUAAUACGGAGGAGGCAAGCGUUAUCCGGAAUUAUUGGGCGUAAAGCGUUCGUAGGCGGCUGUUCAAGUCUGCUGUCAAAGACCGAGGCUCAACCUCGGGUAGGCAGUGGAAACUGGAUAGCUAGAGGUCGGUAGGGGCAGAGGGAAUUCCCAGUGUAGCGGUGAAAUGCGUAGAUAUUGGGAAGAACACCGGUGGCGAAAGCGCUCUGCUGGGCCGAACCUGACGCUGAGGGACGAAAGCUAGGGGAGCGAAUGGGAUUAGAUACCCC
This 662-nucleotide ribosomal RNA is filed under the name uncultured bacterium. Its description in RNAcentral is "bacterial SSU rRNA". It matches the Rfam family "Bacterial small subunit ribosomal RNA", at positions 94 to 788 of the family's 1533-position model. The record is from RNAcentral.